RNAcentral lists this ribosomal RNA (370 nucleotides) under uncultured bacterium. RNAcentral describes it as "bacterial SSU rRNA". It matches the Rfam family "Bacterial small subunit ribosomal RNA", at positions 524 to 898 of the family's 1533-position model. The record is from RNAcentral.
UACGGAGGAUCCAAGCGUUAUCCGGAAUCAUUGGGUUUAAAGGGUCCGUAGGUGGACGAUUAAGUCAGGGGUGAAAUCUUGCAGCUCAACUGUAAAAUUGCCCUUGAUACUGGUUGUCUUGAAUCAUUGUGAAGUGGUUAGAAUAUGUAGUGUAGCGGUGAAAUGCAUAGAUAUUACAUAGAAUACCGAUUGCGAAGGCAGAUCACUAACGGUGCAUUGACACUGAUGGACGAAAGCGUGGGGAGCGAACAGGAUUAGAUACCCUGGUAGUCCACGCCGUAAACGAUGGAUACUAGCUGUCCGGCGCAAGCUGGGUGGCUAAGCGAAAGUGAUAAGUAUCCCACCUGGGGAGUACGUUCGCAAGAAUGAA